AUGAAAACAGACUCAGGAUCUGGCUGGAGGCCUUCGGUGACAUCAGUCCAGAGGUGGCUGCCCUGACCCUGACUACUGGGGGCUGAAGAGACCUCCUUCCCUACUUUGUCCUGGCUUGGCAGAGAGAAGGAGAAAGGCAAGAGUCAACUCUCCCUGAAUCCCUCUCCCUUCUGGGGCACCGAACUUGGGACAGAAAUUCUUCCCGUGGAAGACAGUCAUGCUGCCUACCCAAGAGCCUACCCAAGAAGUACUCCACUGUGCAACUGAACCAUCAGUCUUGUGCAACAAGAAGCAAGACAGGCGGGGCAUGGUGGCUCACACAUGUAAUCCCAGUACUUUGGGAGGCCGAGGUGGGUGGAUCACCUGAGGUCAGGAGUUCGAG
This 382-nucleotide long non-coding RNA is filed under the name Homo sapiens (human). RNAcentral's name for it is "HSALNT0316772". The record is from RNAcentral. Lineage: Eukaryota; Metazoa; Chordata; Mammalia; Primates; Hominidae.